This 402-nucleotide ribosomal RNA is filed under the name uncultured bacterium. RNAcentral's name for it is "bacterial SSU rRNA". It matches the Rfam family "Bacterial small subunit ribosomal RNA", at positions 355 to 774 of the family's 1533-position model. The record is from RNAcentral.
UCGGGAAUUUUGGGCAAUGGGCGAAAGCCUGACCCAGCAACGCCGCGUGAGGGAUGAAGUAUUUCGGUAUGUAAACCUCGAAAGAAUGGGAAGAAUAAAUGACGGUACCAUUUAUAAGCUCCGGCUAACUAUGUGCCAGCAGCCGCGGUAAUACGUAGGGAGCAAGCGUUGUUCGGAUUUACUGGGCGUAAAGGGCGCGUAGGCGGCGCGGUAAGUCACUUGUGAAAUCUCUGAGCUUAACUCAGAACGGCCAAGUGAUACUGCUGUGCUAGGGUGCGGAAGAGGCAACCGGAAUUCUUGGUGUAGCGGUGAAAUGCGUAGAUAUCAAGAGGAACACCUGAGGCGAAGGCGGGUUGCUGGGCCGACACUGACGCUGAUGCGCGAAAGCCAGGGGAGCAAACG